GAUGAACGCUGGCGGCGUGCCUAAUACAUGCAAGUCGAGCGAACAGACGAGGAGCUUGCUCCUCUGACGUUAGCGGCGGACGGGUGAGUAACACGUGGAUAACCUACCUAUAAGACUGGGAUAACUUCGGGAAACCGGAGCUAAUACCGGAUAAUAUAUUGAACCGCAUGGUUCAAUAGUGAAAGACGGUUUUGCUGUCACUUAUAGAUGGAUCCGCGCCGCAUUAGCUAGUUGGUAGGUAACGGCUUACCAAGGCAACGAUGCGUAGCCGACCUGAGAGGGUGAUCGGCCACACUGGAACUGAGACACGGUCCAGACUCCUACGGGAGGCAGCAGUAGGGAAUCUUCCGCAAUGGGCGAAAGCCUGACGGAGCAACGCCGCAUGAGUGAUGAAGGUCUUCGGAUCGUAAAACUCUGUUAUUAGGGAAGAACAAAUGUGUAAGUAACUAUGCACGUCUUGACGGUACCUAAUCAGAAAGCCACGGCUAACUACGUG
This 496-nucleotide ribosomal RNA is filed under the name uncultured bacterium. RNAcentral describes it as "partial 16S ribosomal RNA". It matches the Rfam family "Bacterial small subunit ribosomal RNA", at positions 28 to 507 of the family's 1533-position model. The record is from RNAcentral.